AGGAUGAACGCUGGCGGCGUGCCUAAUACAUGCAAGUCGAGCGGUAAGGUCCCUUCGGGGAUACACGAGCGGCGGACGGCUGAGUAACACGUAGGAACGUACCCCAAAGUGAGGCAUAAGCACCAGAAAUGGUGUCUAAUACCGCAUGUGGCCCUCGGGCUAAAGCUCCGGCGCUUUGGGAACGGCCUGCGCAUGAUUAGCUUGUUGGUGAGGUAAUAGCUCACCAAGGCGAUGAUCAUUAGCUGGCCUGAGAGGAUGACCAGCCAGACUGGAACUGAGAACGGUCCAGACUCCUACGGGAGGCAGCAGUAGGGAAUUUCCACAAUGGACGAAAGUCUGAUGGAGCAACGCCGCGUGCAGGAUGAAUGUCUUCGGAUUGUAAACUGCUUUUUAUAUGUGACGAUUAUGACGGUAGCAUAUGAAAUAAGGAUCGCUAACUCCGUGCCAGCAGCCGC
Molecule: ribosomal RNA, 455 nt
Filed under: uncultured soil bacterium
Lineage: Bacteria
Description: bacterial SSU rRNA
Rfam family: Bacterial small subunit ribosomal RNA
Source: RNAcentral